CAGUGGGGAAUAUUGCACAAUGGGCGCUAAGCCUGAUGCAGCCAUGCCGCGUGUAUGAAGAAGGCCUUCGGGUUGUAAAGUACUUUCAGCAGUGAGGAAGGUGGGUAUGUUAAUAGCAUACUCAUUUGACGUUUAGCUGCAGAAGAAGCACCGGCUAACUCCGUGCCAGCAGCCGCGGUAAUACGGAGGGUGCGAGCGUUAAUCGGAAUUACUGGGCGUAAAGCGCAUGCAGGUGGUUUGUUAAGUCAGAUGUGAAAGCCCGGGGCUCAACCUCGGAAUUGCAUUUGAAACUGGCAAACUAGAGUACUGUAGAGGGGGUAGAAUUUCAGGUGUAGCGGUGAAAAUGCGUAGAGAUCUGAAGGAAUACCGGUGGCGAAGGCGGCCCCCUGGACAGAUACUGACACUCAGAUGCGAAAGCGUGGGGAGCAAACAGGAUUAGAUACCCUGGUAG
This 451-nucleotide ribosomal RNA is filed under the name uncultured bacterium. Its description in RNAcentral is "bacterial SSU rRNA". It matches the Rfam family "Bacterial small subunit ribosomal RNA", at positions 352 to 793 of the family's 1533-position model. The record is from RNAcentral.